GAUGAACGCUGGCGGCGUGCCUAAUACAUGCAAGUCGAGCGAACAGACGAGGAGCUUGCUCCUCUGACGUUAGCGGCGGACGGGUGAGUAACACGUGGAUAACCUACCUAUAAGACUGGGAUAACUUCGGGAAACCGGAGCUAAUACCGGAUAAUAUCUUUAACCGCAUGGUUCAAUAGUGAAAGACGGUUUUGCUGUCACUUAUAGAUGGAUCCCCGUCGCAUUAGCUAGUUGUUAAGGUAACGGCUUACCAAGGCAACGAUGCGUACCCGACCUGAGGGGGUGAUCGGCCACACUGGAACUGAGACACGGUCAAGACUCAUACGGGAGGCAGCAGUAGGGAAUCUUCCGCAAUGGGCGAAAGCCUGACGGAGCAACGCCGGGUGAGGGAUGAAGGUCUUCGGAUCGAAAAACUCUGUGAUUAGGGAAGAACAAAUGGGGAAGUAACUAUGCACGUCUUGACGGUACCUAAUCAGAAAGCCACGGCUAACUACGUG
RNAcentral lists this ribosomal RNA (497 nucleotides) under uncultured bacterium. Its description in RNAcentral is "partial 16S ribosomal RNA". It matches the Rfam family "Bacterial small subunit ribosomal RNA", at positions 28 to 507 of the family's 1533-position model. The record is from RNAcentral.